GAUGAACGCUGACAGAAUGCUUAACACAUGCAAGUCGACUCGAGUCUUCGGACUUGGGUGGCGGACGGGUGAGUAACGCGUAAAGAACUUGCCUCAUAGUCUGGGACAACAUCUGGAAACGGAUGCUAAUACCGGAUAUUAUGCUUUCUUCGCAUGGAGGAAGUAUGAAAGCUAUAUGCGCUAUGAGAGAGCUUUGCGUCCCAUUAGCUAGUUGGUGAGGUAACGGCCCACCAAGGCGAUGAUGGGUAGCCGGCCUGAGAGGGUGAACGGCCACAAGGGGACUGAGACACGGCCCUUACUCCUACGGGAGGCAGCAGUGGGGAAUAUUGGACAGUGGACCAAAAGUCUGAUCCAGCAAUUCUGUGUGCACGAUGACGUUUUUCGGAAUGUAAAGUGCUUUCAGUCGGGAAGAAGCAAGUGACGGUACCGACAGAAGAAGCGACGGCUAAAUACGUGCCAGCAGCCGCGGUAAUACGUAUGUCGCAAGCGUUAUCCGGAUUCAUUGGGCGUAAAGCGCGUCUAGGCGGCAAGGAAAGUCUGAUGUGAAAAUGCGGGGCUCAACUCCGUAUUGCGUUGGAAACUGCCUUACUAGAGUACUGGAGAGGUAGGCGGAACUACAAGUGUAGAGGUGAAAUUCGUAGAUAUUUGUAGGAAUGCCGAUGGGGAAGCCAGCCUACUGGACAGAUACUGGCGCUAAAGCGCGAAAGCGUGGGUAGCAAACAGG
Molecule: ribosomal RNA, 724 nt
Filed under: uncultured Fusobacterium sp.
Lineage: Bacteria; Fusobacteriati; Fusobacteriota; Fusobacteriia; Fusobacteriales; Fusobacteriaceae
Description: bacterial SSU rRNA
Rfam family: Bacterial small subunit ribosomal RNA
Source: RNAcentral